RNAcentral lists this ribosomal RNA (292 nucleotides) under uncultured bacterium. RNAcentral's name for it is "partial 16S ribosomal RNA". It matches the Rfam family "Bacterial small subunit ribosomal RNA", at positions 505 to 796 of the family's 1533-position model. The record is from RNAcentral.
GUGCCAGCAGCCGCGGUAAGACGAAGGUGGCUAGCGUUGUUCGGUAUCACUGGGCUUAAAGCGUGUGUAGGCGGGAAAGUAAGCAUCAUGUGAAAUCCCCCGGCUCAACCGGGGAAUUGUGUGAUGUACUGCUUUUCUUGAGGCAAGUAGGGGUGCAUGGAACUCUUGGUGGAGCGGUGGAAUGCGUAGAUAUCAAGAGGAACGCCAGUGGAGAAAUCGGUGCACUGGGCUUGUCCUGACGCUGAGACACGAAAGCGUGGGGAGCGAACGGGAUUAGAAACCCUUGUAGUCC